UACGGAGGGUGCAAGCGUUACCCGGAAUCACUGGGCGUAAAGGGCGUGUAGGCGGACACUUAAGUCUGGCUUUGAAGACCGUGGCUCAACCGCGGGAAUGGGCUGGGAACUGGGUGUCUGGACCUCGGGAGAGGGAACCGGAAUUCCUGGUGUAGCGGUGGAAUGCGUAGAUACCAGGAGGAACACCGAUGGCGAAGGCAGGUUCCUGGACAGAAGGUGACGCUGAGGCGCGAAAGUGUGGGGAGCGAACCGG
RNAcentral lists this ribosomal RNA (253 nucleotides) under uncultured bacterium. RNAcentral describes it as "partial 16S ribosomal RNA". It matches the Rfam family "Bacterial small subunit ribosomal RNA", at positions 524 to 776 of the family's 1533-position model. The record is from RNAcentral.